Long non-coding RNA from Budorcas taxicolor (takin), 183 nucleotides. RefSeq lists it as uncharacterized. The transcript has 3 exons. The record is from RefSeq and is a predicted model, not a curated record. Lineage: Eukaryota; Metazoa; Chordata; Mammalia; Artiodactyla; Bovidae.
CUAGAUUGCAUCCUCGUGUGAAACCUAAGAAGGCAAAACGGACCUCUCCUGUCGCAGUUAGUGGCCUGCCCGACCCAGCUCCAAGCCUUGAGCGCCAGGCCACCAGGCCCCUCUGCGCUUUUCCAGAAAGGCCUGAAGCCGGUCUUGCAGAUGGGUUGGAGUAGACGUUGGAUGGCAGAACCC